GCAAACUUGGUCAUUUAGAGGAAGUAAAAGUCGUAACAAGGUUUCCGUAGGUGAACCUGCGGAAGGAUCAUUCACAAAUUCAAAAACUAAUGUGUGUAUUGGCACUUUUAAAACCAAUGCAUGCUGGAUAUAUAUCCAUAUCCAACCUUGUGUGCAAUGUUUGGAAUUUCUUUGGAUCUCGAACAUCAUGCUCUCCUUCUCUGAGGGAGUGCUUGUUAUGAGGGCGAAAAAGGAUUCUUUUUAAACGAUCAACCUUUUUUUGAACUAGUUUGUCUGAAUGUGUAAUGUACUCAUGAAUUUUUAAAGAAUUCAAAAAUACAACUUUCAACAACGGAUCUCUUGGCUCUCGCAUCGAUGAAGAACGCAGC
RNAcentral lists this unclassified non-coding RNA (368 nucleotides) under uncultured fungus. RNAcentral describes it as "partial contains small subunit ribosomal RNA, internal transcribed spacer 1, and 5.8S ribosomal RNA". The stretch from base 1 to 73 matches the Rfam family "Eukaryotic small subunit ribosomal RNA", at positions 1759 to 1831 of the family's 1831-position model. The record is from RNAcentral. Lineage: Eukaryota; Fungi.